AACCAGUUCAACUUAAAACAUUUUGCGUCUACCUUCACCUUCCUGGGAAACCUACUCAAAGCAGCUCCAAAUGUGGCCCAUUGCAUUGUCACUCGAUACGUGCCCAUUUUGGAGCAGCUGUGCUCAUCUUUGACAUACCCUGAUGAAGACCUGAAGGCUUCAAUCAUGUACGUGUGGUGCCAACUACUCAGUAGCGCUGGUGGCUCUGCAGCUCAGUCGUUACCCAUCGCGAUCAGGGACAGACUGUGCAUCCUGCUGCUGCAGACGUUAGCUAAAGCCACCUCGCCGCAUCUCAUUGGAAAUUGUCUCGGUCUGCUGUGGCAACUGGUGCAGAUGAGCGAGGCAGUAUCCGCUCUGAUGAAAUGCCCCGGCUCUCUGAUUUUAAACGAUGAGAGCCAAGAGUUCCUGACUAACAGCCAGUCCCUCGAGCAGAACCAAGAACAACAGCUCCCAGACCACUGCCCUCUGCCUCUCAUCCUGAAAAAGGUCUCUGUCCAAACAUCUCGCCCCUACCGACGAGGCCUGCAGUCUAGCACUGAUGCUAAUGAUAACAACAGAUUCUGAUGUCGGAUUAAUGUGCCUCUGAGUUAGGAUUCAGGAAAGCUUUUACCCUGGACAAAUAUUUGGGCUUUGUGUCUGGGAAAUCACACUGUUGAUCCAGUCUUGUUGGAAUUUCUCAGUGUUGGCUCAUGUUACGAAGCAGCUCAUGAUGACAUUAGGCUUUUAUGUUUUGCUGCUCUGAGAUUUAACACUUUGCUAGAUAACCUGUGGGAAUGGAGGUCAGCCA
RNAcentral lists this long non-coding RNA (787 nucleotides) under Gouania willdenowi (blunt-snouted clingfish). Its description in RNAcentral is "lncRNA (ENSGWIG00000004806.1)". Lineage: Eukaryota; Metazoa; Chordata; Actinopteri; Blenniiformes; Gobiesocidae. The record is from RNAcentral.